Molecule: non-coding RNA, 28 nt
Filed under: Homo sapiens (human)
Lineage: Eukaryota; Metazoa; Chordata; Mammalia; Primates; Hominidae
Source: RNAcentral
UGUGUGACUGAGGAAAUGACCUCUGGAU